Long non-coding RNA from Pyrus x bretschneideri (Chinese white pear), 2389 nucleotides. RefSeq lists it as uncharacterized. NCBI's taxonomy places the organism in Eukaryota, Viridiplantae, Streptophyta, Magnoliopsida, Rosales, Rosaceae. The record is from RefSeq and is a predicted model, not a curated record. The transcript has 2 exons.
UGUUUUUUGUGGUCAAGGUUAAGCCACAUCAACAUUUUAUAUUAUUUUUUUAUAGAGAUAAUAAGAUAAAAAUGAAUAGUAAUAUAAAAUGUUGACGUGAUUUUGUGACCACACAAACAAUAAGGCACAGGAGGGCACUAGAAGUGGGAAGGCGGACAAUCCUUGUCCUAUACUAUUACAAUCACUUAUUAACAUUCAUAUAUAAUGACAGAGACAUCAACCGUCAAUAAGUAAUUACAUUAAGGUUUUGUUUGGCAGUUCAGACUGUAUUGAUUAUUUCUGUCUGAUAAGAUAAAUAACCACCAUAUAGUACUGAUUAAAUUAAUCAGACGUUUGAUGCAGUAUCGGACUAACGACGUAUUAUUUAUACUGUGUUUAAUACUAUUGUUAAUUUUAUUAAUGAGAAAAAAGGACCAAAAAAAAAAAAAAAACAAAAACAAAAUUGUGAUGAUAUAUUCUGCCUCCAAACUAUUAUCUUCUUUUAAACUUCCUUAUUAACAUGUUUCAAAAAUUUUAUAAACAAAAAGAAAAAAAACAGCGCCCUUGUCCCUUCAUCCCACACCCCAACAAACGCCAUCGCCACACCACCCUCAUUCAAUUCCGGUGACAAACACCAUACCCACCCCACCCUCAGUCAAUUCGUGAACACCUCAAUUGUGGAACAUGGCUUCUCGCCACCGCAUCUUCCCCAACCCAGUAAACCGAACAAAGUUGCUCACAAUUUUGCAUUUCCAAAUCGAAAAAAGCUCUAAACACAAAAUGCUGGUUAACUCUGUAAAACCCUUUUCUGGAGGAUGAAGUCUGUAAGACCCUUUUCUGGAGGACGAAACGAAGCCAAUGCAAAGACAUAGAACCUGCUCCAUCAUCACGUUCACCAUCCUCCUCAGAUCUACAAUCAGGGCAUCAGUUCGUUGGUGAUACGGUCGUCGGUGAGGCAUCGGCUGGUCUUCAGCAAUGCAUUGUGGUUCGCUACGGACACGGCGUCGAGAGUCGGUGUUGGGUGCGGUGGAUUGAGGGAACGGAGAGAGCGAGCAAUUUCCUACCCGACUAAAUAAUACUGAGGUUUUAGAGUGUAUUUUUUUUGGAGUGAAACGAUGCGUGAAUAAGUUAGACGUUAGAUUAGUAAUUGGUGGGUUUGAACCCAUGCCGCCGUUAUGUAAGGGUAUAACACCUUUACACAUCUAUGGUAAAUGGUCAUUUGUAGGUUUUAGAAUGUAUAGUAUAUGAGCACACACAAAGGGUGCGAAAUUUUUUUUUAUUUUAUUUUUUGAAGUAGGAGAGAGAAAGAGAAUGAUAGAGAAUGUGGGAGUGUGAAAUUUUGUUUUGUAUUGUUUUUUUUUUUAAUUAAUUAAAGAUAUGUUAAGAUUACAUGUAGAUGAGAUUUUGAAAAAAAAAAAAAUUUGAUUGUGUAAAAUUACAUUUUUGUCAUAUAUUUUUUAUUCAUAUUCUAUUUAAUUAGAACGUUGAAUUGGUAAUUUUAGAGGAUUUUGAUUGAGAAUAAAUUAGUAAAGAUUAGUUAUACGCGUGAGCUGUCUAUAAUAAGUGGGGCCAGGACAAUUAAUCCGGAGUCUAUGUAUUACGAAACUGCAGCAAACAACCAGAUUGGUAUAAUUAUUCAUAUGCGGUCCUUUAUACGAUGUGCCAAAUAAGUAUUUCAAUGUACUAUAGCAGCCUCGAAAAUUGGGAGAAAACAUCAAAAUUGUAAGGUGGAGGCCCAAAUCUCAUUGUAAGCCCGCGUUAACAAGGCCGUCGGACACAUUUUGAUUACUCUGUUUUGACGACCAAGCAACAAGAAGGGCGUCAGAGCGGCUGAUUUUGUAUCAAACCUGACGAUCGUAUUUGGAAGCUCUCAUUUUGUCGUCGGCUUUGCUUUAAUCUCUAUUAUCGGAGGAGAUGAAGAAAGGGAUGCACCCUCAGAUGCAAUGGAUAUCGUACGUGACACAGAGUGGGAGAUUGAUGCAGGUUAUGAUGCCCAAGAUCCACCACGCUGGUAAAGUCUACCACUUGAAGGCGAAACGCCAAAUGGCUGAGCAUAUGAGCCAGAUGGCCAAGUUUAGGCAGCGUUACGAGAAGCAGAUUGCUCCGAGAGAUAAACCGUGAUUGCUAAGUCAACGUGCCUAUGGAUUCAAAAGGUUUGGAUUCUUUGACAACUUUGUUUCGGAAUAAAGAUGAACUUGCUUUGUGAGAUUUUAAGCACUUGUGCUUUGCCACUCUAUGUUUUGUUUAACUUGGAGAAAAGUUGAAGUUUCUGUUUAAGUCAAAGGGAAAAGUUGAUAAAAGUCUUUCAUGCUAAUCACUGUUGAUAUUCUAUCAGAAGUAGAAUUAAUCUGGAUUUGGGGUUAGAGUUGUUCCUUUUCUUCGCCAUUUAUGCAAUUCUAAUUCAACGUUA